CCUACGGGUGGCAGCAGUGAGGAAUAUUGGUCAAUGGACGAGAGUCUGAACCAGCCAAGUCGCGUGAAGGAUGACUGCCCUAUGGGUUGUAAACUUCUUUUAUAUGGGAAUAAAAUGUUCCACGUGUGGGAUUUUGUAUGUACCAUAUGAAUAAGGAUCGGCUAACUCCGUGCCAGCAGCCGCGGUAAUACGGAGGAUCCGAGCGUUAUCCGGAUUUAUUGGGUUUAAAGGGAGCGUAGGUGGAUUGUUAAGUCAGUUGUGAAAGUUUGCGGCUAAACCGUAAAAUUGCAGUUGAAACUGGCAGUCUUGAGGACAGUAGAGGUGGGCGGAAUUCGUGGUGUAGCGGUGAAAUGCUUAGAUAUCACGAAGAACUCCGAUUGCGAAGGCAGUUCACUGGACUGCAACUGACACUGAGGCUCGAAAGUGUGGGUAUCAAACAGGAUUAGAUACCCUAGUAGU
This 459-nucleotide ribosomal RNA is filed under the name uncultured bacterium. RNAcentral's name for it is "partial 16S ribosomal RNA". It matches the Rfam family "Bacterial small subunit ribosomal RNA", at positions 338 to 794 of the family's 1533-position model. The record is from RNAcentral.